AUGAAGAAUGGAGGACAAUCUGCGGGAGCGGCGGCAGCGGUAGUCUUCGAUGCUUGUUACUUCAUGGCAUGUGAUUUUUCUUUAACUAGAUCUGAACAUUGUAAUAGGGUAGCUAAUAAGGUUGCUCGUGAACUUGCUAGGCUAGCGAAAUUUUCUGUAACUAGAGAUUGCUUCAUGUCGGCUCUCAUCUAUUGUGUCACAGAGGAAGGUGUGGCUGGUUGCGUCUUUGAAGGUGGGGGAUGGGUGAAACAGAGAAAGGGAAAGAGAAAGAGAGGAAGGGGAACAAGAGCAGGCUCGCGUGCCGCCGUGGCCGCUCGACGCCGUCACCGGCGACCGGCGCGGCCCCAACCCGCCGCAUCGAGAAAGCCCCGCACCUCUCUGCCUCUCUCUCGGUCCAGUAGGAAGCUGUGGAUGGGGGAGAGCAGGAGGAGCAAGGGGAAGAGCGGCGUGGCGCUGUGGCCGUCGACGCUGUCGCCGGCGACCGGCGCGACCGGACCGGCCGACAGAGAGACGAGCGGCGCGUGCGAGAGGAGAAGCAAAAUGAGGCUAGGGUUCAGGCGGUGA
RNAcentral lists this ribosomal RNA (564 nucleotides) under Triticum aestivum (bread wheat). RNAcentral's name for it is "partial small subunit ribosomal RNA". Lineage: Eukaryota; Viridiplantae; Streptophyta; Magnoliopsida; Poales; Poaceae. The record is from RNAcentral.